Molecule: long non-coding RNA, 422 nt
Filed under: Drosophila guanche
Lineage: Eukaryota; Metazoa; Arthropoda; Insecta; Diptera; Drosophilidae
Source: RNAcentral
GCUCUGCCCUGGGAGCAGGCUGGCUGGCGGGAGACAGAAAGAGAGGCCAGAGUUCAGACGAGGCGUCAGCUUUGACUUGGACCUGGGGCCAGGGCGCAAAAGAAAUUGCUGGAAAAAAUUAAUUGCAUUUUCAUUAUGUUGACUGGCAGCAGAGUCAAAGGGGAGAGCCCAGAGCGGCGAUGAGUGGAGCAGACAGACAAAUGACAUGGAUAUAGGCGCUUAUUUUUUACCCUCCAAAGCGAGCCGGCAGGACAGGACAGUGCAGAAGUGGGUGGGAUGGGGUGAACUGGAAUUGAAUGGCGUAGGACGAUGGGAAGGACUAAACUGUCGUUAGCUUCAAUUUGGUUUAUGGCAAUGUGUAAACGAAAGUGGAACUUGGAUGAGAUUAAUGUAUGAGAUAAAGAAUGAAGACAUCAUAUGGC